UUCUUUUUCUUUAAGCGAUAGCCAAAGUGUACACAAACAGAGCAGCUGCUCAUUUCUGUUUGGGAAAUUACGAGGAAACACUGAGCGAUGCAACAGCCGCUAUUACCUUGAAACCAACUUUCAUUCAAGCCAUAGAAAGAGGAGCCCGUGCUUGUAUAAAGCUAAAGCGUCACGAAGAAGCCAAGACCUGGUGUGAUAAGGGAUUGGCAAUUGACAAGAACAACAAGACAUUACUUGAUUUACGGACCAAGUGUGUCAGUGAACCCGAUACAUCACAAGAAACAAAGCGAGGGAACAUGAACAGCAUGCCUGUCACUCACACUGCAAUAGGCCAAAGCAACAAUGGUAAGAGAAAUAUUUGGGGAAAUGAAAACUGUGUUUAGAAAUAUUUUCUCUCAGCUAAUUCAAAAAGUAUGUUAAUAACAAUGAAGAGAAGAAACAAAAAGGAAUGCUUUUGACAAUUGUAAGGUUCGCCGUUUAAUUUCAGUCCGUCGUUGAGAGAAGGUGCUAGGCGUUUAAUUCAAUAUGCCUCCCUGAACAGCAGACCGAGAUCCAGCAAAGAAAUUUAAAAAAAAACUAGCUAGGGUUUCAGACAUUCCCGAUAAUGCCGUCCCAUUCGCCUCUGGAAACUUCCAGAAAGUCAAACAGGAAUAUUUGGCUGGAUGACAGGCGCUCCUAUUCUCAUAGUACGCUUUGGUCACCCGUGGUUUAACGAUGUCGGUAAAGGUAGACUAAAAGGCCUACAAAACCACCUCCUUACCAUUUAAUCGUAAGAGGAUAUUAUAAAAUAGCGCGCGCGCUGGUCUUACCUACUUCUUUUUUCAGCCAUCAUUGCAAAAUUUGCAGUUUCAUUUUAGCUGCACAAUUUCCGUAGAGUUUAGCUUCGAGUUCCUUUUGUUAAGGUUUUGGCAAUGUGAGCUUUAUUCUGAACAAUCCUAUCCCUUCUUCGAGCCUCUGACUUUCGCCAAGCUAAGAUGAUUACUAAAACGUAAGUAUUUUGACUUUGUUUGUCUACAUUUUCAUUAAUUUGAAGAAGCGAAUUAAUAAAUUGACAA
Long non-coding RNA from Orbicella faveolata, 1055 nucleotides. NCBI's taxonomy places the organism in Eukaryota, Metazoa, Cnidaria, Anthozoa, Scleractinia, Merulinidae. The record is from RefSeq and is a predicted model, not a curated record.